RNAcentral lists this ribosomal RNA (484 nucleotides) under uncultured bacterium. RNAcentral's name for it is "partial 16S ribosomal RNA". It matches the Rfam family "Bacterial small subunit ribosomal RNA", at positions 30 to 507 of the family's 1533-position model. The record is from RNAcentral.
AUUGAACGCUGGCGGCAGGCCUAACACAUGCAAGUCGAGCGGAUGAAGGGAGCUUGCUCCUGGAUUCAGCGGCGGACGGGUGAGUAAUGCCUAGGAAUCUGCCUGGUAGUGGGGGAUAACGUCCGGAAACGGGCGCUAAUACCGCAUACGUCCUGAGGGAGAAAGAGGGGGAUCUUCGUACCUCACGCUAUCAGAUGAGCCUAGGUCGGAUUAGCUAGUUGGUGGGGUAAAGGCCUACCAAGGCGACGAUCCGUAACUGGUCAGAUAGGAUGAUCAGCACCACGGGAACUGAGACACGGUCCAGCCUCCUACGGGAGGCAGCAGUGGGGAAUAUUGGACAUUGGGCGAAAGCCUGAUGCAGCCAUGCCGCGUGUGUGAAGAAGGUCUUCGGAUGGUAAAGCACUUUGAGUUGGGAGGAAGGGCAGUAAGUUAAUACCUUGAUGUUUUGACGGUACCAACAGAAUAAGCACCGGCUAACUUCGUG